This 372-nucleotide ribosomal RNA is filed under the name uncultured organism. RNAcentral describes it as "bacterial SSU rRNA". It matches the Rfam family "Bacterial small subunit ribosomal RNA", at positions 526 to 896 of the family's 1533-position model. The record is from RNAcentral.
CGUAGGUGGCAAGCGUUACUCGGAAUCACUAGGCGUAAAGCGCAGGUAGGCGGUUGGGUAAGUCUCUUGUGAAAGCUCCUGGCUUAACUGGGAGAGGCCAAGGGAAACUACCCGGCUAGAGUAUGGUAGGGGGUACUGGAAUUCCCGGUGUAGCGGUGAAAUGCGUAGAUGUCGGGAGGAACACCUAUGGCGAAAGCAGGUACCUGGGCCAUUACUGACGCUGAGCUGCGAAAGCUAGGGGAGCAAACAGGAUUAGAUACCCUGGUAGUCCUAGCCCUAAACGAUGUUCAUUAGAUGUGAGAGGUAUCGACCCCUUUCGCGUCGAAGCUAACGCAUUAAAUGAACCGCCUGGGGAGUACGGCCGCAAGGUUG